UACGUAGGCAGCGAGCGUUGUUCGGAGUUACUGGGCGUAAAGGGUGUGUAGGCGGUCUCCUAAGUGUGGUGUGAAAUCUCCCGGCUCAACUGGGAGGGUGCGCUACGGACUGGGAGGCUUCGAGUGCGGGAUGGGAGAGUGGAAUUCCUGGUGUAGCGGUGAAAUGCGUAGAUAUCAGGAGGAACACCUGUGGUGUAGACGGCUCUCUGGACCGUAACUGACGCUGAGACACGAAAGCGUGGGUAGCAAACAGG
RNAcentral lists this ribosomal RNA (254 nucleotides) under uncultured Acidobacteriota bacterium. RNAcentral describes it as "uncultured Acidobacteria bacterium partial 16S ribosomal RNA". It matches the Rfam family "Bacterial small subunit ribosomal RNA", at positions 524 to 776 of the family's 1533-position model. Lineage: Bacteria; Pseudomonadati; Acidobacteriota. The record is from RNAcentral.